Molecule: ribosomal RNA, 274 nt
Filed under: uncultured bacterium
Lineage: Bacteria
Description: partial 16S ribosomal RNA
Rfam family: Bacterial small subunit ribosomal RNA
Source: RNAcentral
AUACGGAGGGGGCUAGCGUUGUUCGGAAUUACUGGGCGUAAAGCGCGCGUAGGCGGUUAUUCAAGUUGGGCGUGAAAGCCCCGGGCUCAACCCGGGAAUUGCGCUUGAUACUGGCAGGCUAGAGGCCGGGAGAGGGUAGUGGAAUUCCCAGUGUAGAGGUGAAAUUCGUAGAUAUUGGGAAGAACACCGGUGGCGAAGGCGGCUACCUGGACCGGUACUGACGCUGAGGUGCGAAAGCGUGGGGAGCAAACAGGAUUAGAAACCCCAGUAGUCC